GCCCGUCAAGCUCAGGUGGUAGAGCGCCGGACUGAAAAUCCGGAGGCUGCCGGUUCGACGCCGGCGAUGGGCA
RNAcentral lists this transfer RNA (73 nucleotides) under Micromonospora sp. C51. Its description in RNAcentral is "tRNA-Phe". It matches the Rfam family "tRNA". From Rfam's summary of the family: Transfer RNA (tRNA) molecules are approximately 80 nucleotides in length. Their secondary structure includes four short double-helical elements and three loops (D, anti-codon, and T loops). Lineage: Bacteria; Bacillati; Actinomycetota; Actinomycetes; Micromonosporales; Micromonosporaceae. The record is from RNAcentral.